Molecule: long non-coding RNA, 1415 nt
Organism: Anastrepha obliqua
Lineage: Eukaryota; Metazoa; Arthropoda; Insecta; Diptera; Tephritidae
Exons: 3
Source: RefSeq, a predicted model, not a curated record
UAAAGCAGCUGUUCAGUAAAGUAUUAACAAGUGAAAACACGGAAACUGUCCGUCGAAUAACUGCAGUAAAGUAAGAAAGUGCAUAUAUUCUUUGUAUUGAAAAUUAAAACAUCAUACAAAGGAUCAUUCGCUGAUUAUCGAAAAGACGUACAAACAUUUAUUAAUGCAGGUCCACAAGAAUUGGCAAUAAUUUUAUCUGGUGGUGGUUUAUAUACUGCUGCAUUGAAGCUGCUUACUGGCUUCGGAUUAUCACCUCUUCUCAUAUGGGUACGCCACAUUACCAAGGAAGCGCCAAUGAAGCAUGAGCGUGGUCACAGGAAAGUGAAAUGGCUGAUUUGCUUCAUCGCAAUAAAGCAACCAAUCUGGCCCGAUCGCUGUUACAAAAACUCAUUUAUGAUCCUGAGUUAGAAAAUUCUACUAGCGUAUGUAAACAUAUAGCAAACAAGCUGCUAAGUCUCAACGCUUUUAUACCGCAAUGGCUAUAUAAUGACUAAAAGUUGGCGAAUUGUCCAGAGCUCUUGUAUAUGUUCGUCAAACAUAAUUCCUUAAUUAAAGCUGCCAAUUACCACUUGGCAGCCGGUUUUACUUUACCGGAAUGACUCGGGUUUUUUUCCUGACCAAGGGCUGCCGCCCCAGUAAACUAGACCUGUCUAGUGUACCGUAUCCCACCCCCAAUCUUUCGUCACAGGAGCAAUCCCUUGCAGCAGAUUUGCUCCAAUUACUUCUCUUCAGGGCUGGCGUCGAACCAGACCCUGGACCAGAGGUAUUUUACUGCUGCAUCUACCACAAACGGCUCCACCCGAACUCCACCUCGGUGCCAUCUUAAGACCUGCUCAGGUCUUGAGACUCAUAAGGAGUGGUACACAAGGUAUAGGGCCACGUGUUGCUCCCGCCGUCAGGCGGCCCCUACCUCAACGGCGAUACCAUCAUCAGUGCCGGUAAGCCACACUGCCGCCGCCAACCAUACCUUAGCUGUAAGGAUCCCUCAGGCGCAACACAACUCCCCCACUGACCCACAACCUUCCUGCUCCUACCCCAGUGCGGGGACAAACCAGCAGCUCUUGGCCUCCCGCACAGUCUGUUCCGUGUGUCAGACCAUAGUUCCUCAGAACCUAACAACAGUCCAGUGCAAUUCUUGCAAUGGCUGGUGCCAUUUUCGGAGGUGCUCUGGCUUGUGCACCACCCGUGAGUGGACACGCGAUUACUGCCCCCUAUUGCAGAGCUCUGCACCCGCAACACUCCCUGUGGCGGGGCCACCCGUCAACGUCAGGCCACAACAACUUUUGCGGAACGCACAGCAGGACCAACGCAGACAACCCCACACGUCCCUCACCCCCCGAGUUGCAACGACCUCACCCAGAAGCUUUAAGCUUCUGCAAUUCAACUGUAACGGACUCAAGAUCAAGGUCGACGAG